Molecule: ribosomal RNA, 558 nt
Filed under: uncultured bacterium
Lineage: Bacteria
Description: bacterial SSU rRNA
Rfam family: Bacterial small subunit ribosomal RNA
Source: RNAcentral
CCUACGGGAGGCAGCAGUGGGGAAUCUUGCACAAUGGAGGAAACUCUGAUGCAGCGAUGCCGCGUGAGUGAAGAAGGCCUUUGGGUUGUAAAGCUCUUUUGUAGGGGAAGAUAAUGACUGUACCCUAAGAAUAAGGUCCGGCUAACUUCGUGCCAGCAGCCGCGGUAAUACGAAGGGACCUAGCGUAGUUCGGAAUUACUGGGCGUAAAGCGCGCGUAGGCCGUUGAGUUAGUUAAUUGUGAAAUCCCAAAGCUUAACUUUGGAACUGCAAUUAAAACUGCUCGACUAGAGUUUGAUAGAGGAAAGCGGAAUACAUAGUGUAGAGGUGAAAUUCGUAGAUAUUAUGUAGAACACCAGUUGCGAAGGCGGCUUUCUGGAUCAACACUGACGCUGAAGCGCGAAAGUAUGGGUAGCAAAGAGGAUUAGAUACCCUCGUAGUCCAUACCAUAAACGAUGAUUGCUAGAUGUUGGAAAUUUAUUUUCAGUAUCGCAGCUAACGCAUUAAGCAAUCCGCCUGGGGAGUACGACCGCAAGGUUAAAACUCAAAGGAAUUGACGG